GAUGAACAUCUUUUUAUUUAAGAAGGAAGUAGCAAAAACACGGCCGGAAGUGGAGGAUAAUUCCGUAAUUUUGAAUGAUGCUUUGAAUGAAUGUGAAUGGACCUCGUUUCGUCGGGUUUGCAGUGAAAUGGGGAUCAGGAAUUGCCGCAUAGCACCCCAAAUCUUCGAAUUCACCGGGUUGGCCUAGGUCGCCGGUUCGAAUUGUCCAGUCAAAUUUACAUUGGAAAAUACGGGACUACAGAAAACCUUUGAGUUAUCUGGGAUUUCGAAUUAACGAGGUUUUAACGUACAUUUCUUUGUGAACGUUGGGUUAACUAUUUCGGCACUGGUGCUAUGUAUUGACAAAAUGCAUUUUGUUUCACUGUGUUUCACAGGCGCAAAUGGCGAGAAGGUUAAUUACAUGUGGCUGCUUGUGAAUGCACCUAAAAUUGCACGCCGCGCAACAGAGAGCAGUUGCCGAAGCGGAGCAGUAUCUUCACAGGUAGUGGUGAAUUCAGCUGGUCAUGGCCUCCGAAAUCUUGCGGUGCGCAAGCUACCCGAUUUGUCUCCACCAGCGUGCUGGAGGCUACACAGCGCAAAAACCAAGAAGGCAAAGCCACGCCCAAAAGCUGAGUGUCGUGGCACCAAAAGGGCUUGUCAUGGUACCCCAUGGUGGCUGCGAUGGAUUACGAUACGCAGCACGCAUCUUCUAUCUCGGAGGCCAAGCGCAGCAGACACAGCUAUGCACAAUUGCGGUGUGUAGGCUAGCAGCCCAAAGAUAAAAUGAUUUUUAUGUCUUUUUGAGAUUGCAAACAUGUAGCAUAUAUGCUCCAUGUAUUUAAUAAAGAUUAGCAACUAUG
Dermacentor albipictus is the source of this 839-nucleotide long non-coding RNA. RefSeq lists it as uncharacterized. The record is from RefSeq and is a predicted model, not a curated record. NCBI's taxonomy places the organism in Eukaryota, Metazoa, Arthropoda, Arachnida, Ixodida, Ixodidae.